GCCAGCAGCCAUAUCACUCUGCAACUCACAACUGGCAACCCACUGAAGCUCAGCAGGUGUGAGCCUGGUCAGUACCUGGAUGGGAGACCUCCUGGUAAAAACUAAGGUUGUUGCUGGAA
RNAcentral lists this ribosomal RNA (119 nucleotides) under Lepisosteus oculatus (spotted gar). The record is from RNAcentral. Lineage: Eukaryota; Metazoa; Chordata; Actinopteri; Semionotiformes; Lepisosteidae.